Molecule: long non-coding RNA, 604 nt
Organism: Chinchilla lanigera (long-tailed chinchilla)
Lineage: Eukaryota; Metazoa; Chordata; Mammalia; Rodentia; Chinchillidae
Exons: 3
Source: RefSeq, a predicted model, not a curated record
UUACCUAAAAUCCGCAGUCAGCAGAGAGAAGAGUUUGGGCCGGGCUGGCUCAGCAGAGGCGGGCAGGGGAGGGGGCAGCUCCACACCAACUCAGGGAAGGAGGUGCCAGGGCAGAUAGGGGAAAGGCCCAAGGAGGGAGAGAGAAGACUAACGUCACAGUGGGUCCUCGGCAGGCUCCCAGCUAGAAGCCCACGCCCUAUGCCCUGGACGGAGAUGUAACCAUGACAGCAGCCCCCUCGGAGCCCACCCAGGGCGGGUCCCAGUGCAGCCUGGCGUUGGAGCUCUGAUAUACGGGGGCUGGGCUGCAUGGCAAGUCUUGCUAAGUUGCUUAGGCUGGGCUGGAAUUUGUGACCCUCUUGAAUCAGACCGGCCUUGUAAACCUGGGCUAACACCACCACACAAUCUGCAACGCUAUGCGGCACAGACACCUGGAGCUGCCAUCUCCCCAUCUCCCUUCUACCCCUUGCCUAUCCACACCAUUCGUGGGACUCUACUUGUCUCCCAAGGUCUUUGGGUUGGACAAGAUGAAUGAUAAGAUAAAGAAGAUGUAUUUUCACUCGGCACUUGGAACAGCCAACAGUCUUUUGGCUUAUGGUCAGCUGGA